Molecule: ribosomal RNA, 466 nt
Filed under: uncultured bacterium
Lineage: Bacteria
Description: bacterial SSU rRNA
Rfam family: Bacterial small subunit ribosomal RNA
Source: RNAcentral
CUACGGGAGGCAGCAGUAGGGAAUAUUGGUCAAUGGGCGAAAGCCUGAACCAGCCAUGCCGCGUGAGUGACGAAGGCCUUCGGGUCGUAAAACUCUUUUCUGAGGGAAGAACAACCGAGGUAGGAAAUGACCUUGGCCUGACGGUACCUCAGGAAUAAGCAACGGCUAACUCCGUGCCAGCAGCCGCGGUAAUACGGAGGUUGCGAGCGUUGUUCGGAAUAACUGGGCGUAAAGGGAGCGCAGGCGGUUUGGUAAGUCCAAAGUGAAAGCCCGGGGCUCAACCCCGGAAGUGCUUCGGAUACUGCCUUACUUGAGUUCGUGAGAGGAAAGCGGAAUUCCAGGUGUAGCGGUGAAAUGCGUAGAUAUCUGGAGGAACACCGGUGGCGAAAGCGGCUUUCUGGCACGAUACUGACGCUGAGGCUCGAAAGCGUGGGGAGCAAACGGGAUUAGAUACCCGGGUAGUCCG